RNAcentral lists this long non-coding RNA (230 nucleotides) under Ananas comosus (pineapple). RNAcentral's name for it is "long non-coding RNA (ACOM_LNC033833)". The record is from RNAcentral. Lineage: Eukaryota; Viridiplantae; Streptophyta; Magnoliopsida; Poales; Bromeliaceae.
CUUAUUUGAUAGUCGAUCUUAUCUAAGUUUGUUUGUAAUUUUAUUUUUUCAAUACGCAAAAAAUAAUUUUUUUCUACAGAAUCAAUAUUUAUUUCUACUUUAUCUGCUUCCUCCACUCUCAUCUACAAGUUUUGUAUAAGCUUGUUCAUAAUUUUAUAUUUUUUAAUACGCAAAAACUAUUUUUUCUUAUAGAAUCAUUCAUCUUCACUUUAGCAACUUCCUCCACUUAU